This is a long non-coding RNA of Sapajus apella (tufted capuchin), 729 nucleotides long. RefSeq lists it as uncharacterized. The transcript is spliced from 3 exons. The record is from RefSeq and is a predicted model, not a curated record. Lineage: Eukaryota; Metazoa; Chordata; Mammalia; Primates; Cebidae.
UCAUUUUAUGUCAUUGAAAACUUGCUUUAUGAAUCUGGGUGCUUGUUUGUUGGGUGCGUAUAUAUUUAGGAUAUUUAGGACUUCUUGUUGGAUUGAACCCUUUACCCUUAUGCAAUGCCUUUCUUUGUCUUUUUGAUCUAUGCUGGUUUAAAGUCUGCUCUGUUUGAAAUUAUAGAAUGGCAACACUGCUUGUUUCUGUUUUCCAUUUGCUUGGUAGAUUUUUCUCUAUUCCUUUUCUUUAAGCUUAUGGGAGUCAUUGCAUGUGGGAUGGGUCUCAGGCUCUUGAAGACAGCAUACCACUGGUCUUGCUCCACUGUUCAACCUACCCCUCUGUGCCUUUUAAUUGGUCCAUUUAACCCAUUUACAUUCAUAUUUAGUAUUGAUAUGUAUGGACUUAUUUCUGUCAUCAUGUUGUUAGCUGAUUAUCAUGCAGACUUGUUUAUAUGGUUGCUUUAUAGUGUUGCUGGUCUACAUACUUAAGUGUGAUUUUAUGGUGGCCAGUAAGUCUUUCCUUUCCAUGUUUUGCACUCCCUUCAGGGCUUCUUGUAAGGUAAGUGUGGUGAUAAUAAAAAUCCCUUAGCAUUUUCUUGUCUGAACAUGAUCUUAUUUCUCCCUCAUUUAUGAAGCUUAGUUGCCUGGAUAUAAAACUCUUGGUUGGAACUUAUUUUCUUUAAGAAUGUUGAAUAUCGGACUCCAUUCUCUUCUGGCUUGUUAGGGUUUCUCCUGAAA